This 1191-nucleotide ribosomal RNA is filed under the name Salmonella enterica subsp. enterica serovar Paratyphi B var. L(+) tartrate +. RNAcentral's name for it is "partial 23S ribosomal RNA". It matches the Rfam family "Bacterial large subunit ribosomal RNA", at positions 984 to 2158 of the family's 2925-position model. Lineage: Bacteria; Pseudomonadati; Pseudomonadota; Gammaproteobacteria; Enterobacterales; Enterobacteriaceae. The record is from RNAcentral.
CACACGGCGGGUGCUAACGUCCGUCGUGAAGAGGGAAACAACCCAGACCGCCAGCUAAGGUCCCAAAGUCAUGGUUAAGUGGGAAACGAUGUGGGAAGGCCCAGACAGCCAGGAUGUUGGCUUAGAAGCAGCCAUCAUUUAAAGAAAGCGUAAUAGCUCACUGGUCGAGUCGGCCUGCGCGGAAGAUGUAACGGGGCUAAACCAUGCACCGAAGCUGCGGCAGCGACGUUUAUGCGUUGUUGGGUAGGGGAGCGUUCUGUAAGCCUGCGAAGGUGGCCUGUGAGGGUUGCUGGAGGUAUCAGAAGUGCGAAUGCUGACAUAAGUAACGAUAAAGCGGGUGAAAAGCCCGCUCGCCGGAAGACCAAGGGUUCCUGUCCAACGUUAAUCGGGGCAGGGUGAGUCGACCCCUAAGGCGAGGCCGAAAGGCGUAGUCGAUGGGAAACGGGUUAAUAUUCCCGUACUUGGUGUUACUGCGAAGGGGGGACGGAGAAGGCUAUGUUGGCCGGGCGACGGUUGUCCCGGUUUAAGCGUGUAGGUGUGUGUUCCAGGUAAAUCCGGUUCACUUUAACACUGAGGCGUGAUGACGAGGCACUACGGUGCUGAAGCAACAAAUGCCCUGCUUCCAGGAAAAGCCUCUAAGCAUCAGGUAACAUCAAAUCGUACCCCAAACCGACACAGGUGGUCAGGUAGAGAAUACCAAGGCGCUUGAGAGAACUCGGGUGAAGGAACUAGGCAAAAUGGUGCCGUAACUUCGGGAGAAGGCACGCUGACACGUAGGUGAAGUGAUUUACUCAUGGAGCUGAAGUCAGUCGAAGAUACCAGCUGGCUGCAACUGUUUAUUAAAAACACAGCACUGUGCAAACACGAAAGUGGACGUAUACGGUGUGACGCCUGCCCGGUGCCGGAAGGUUAAUUGAUGGGGUCAGCGCAAGCGAAGCUCCUGAUCGAAGCCCCGGUAAACGGCGGCCGUAACUAUAACGGUCCUAAGGUAGCGAAAUUCCUUGUCGGGUAAGUUCCGACCUGCACGAAUGGCGUAAUGAUGGCCAGGCUGUCUCCACCCGAGACUCAGUGAAAUUGAACUCGCUGUGAAGAUGCAGUGUACCCGCGGCAAGACGGAAAGACCCCGUGAACCUUUACUAUAGCUUGACACUGAACAUUGAGCCUUGAUGUGUAGGAUAGGUGGGAGGCUUU